CUGAUCAAGAACAUUAAUUCCUGCUACAACAAACGACACUCCCAAAGAAACCUUCUGAAUCGUUGUCAUUACGCGAACCCAUUGCAAAAGAUCUUUAAAACAUGAUAAAGUCUCAGUCUUCAAAGGUGUCUUCUUCUUUUUCGGCUUUCUCCGCCAUGAUGACUCCACCACCGGUUCUAGACUUGCUUUGCUUCCAUAACACGGUUCUUUUCUAGAAUCAUCAUUUGUUUGAACAGAGAAACCAGCAGCUUCGCAGAACGAUGUGCCGUUAGACUCCCAGCUUGAGGUUUUAACGCAGAUGAUGUCGUUUACUCCACAUGGACCAAUCAUCUAAUCACAUACAAAACCAAUAAGAUCCCACAAUACCAUUUUGAUCACUUUCCUUGGGAUUAUCUUACCUGUGUAAGUGCAUUGCUGGCGAAGUAUGCGUCUUUGCAAGCUGCAAAGACUUUGUUACAGAACGAAGCGCAGAUGCGAGGAGGACCUGGUUGAACUCCAAUGUUCGGGUUACAGAUUGAACACUCCAACAGCUCGAACAGAUGCUGGCACUCUUGACUAGCUUCUCCAAAAGUAGCCAGGUUUCUGACAGCUACAAAAGCUGGGUUUGUCUGAGCAGGAGAGCAACAGGUUCUUUUGCGAAACACCUGGCACAGAGUUAGGUCCUUUGAUCCUUUACCAACAGGUUUAGGAGGCUUUCCUUCAGAUUCAUAGGGGGGAAACCUCCCUCCUUUAGAAACGCAUACCCCUUUCGCAUCCUGUUUCAUUGCACCUGAAAAAACAGAGCGUUACACUAAAAAAAUUGAACAACUUUAAUAAGUUUUAUUUAUUGCAAAGGAGUUUAAUUUCUUUUCAUGAAUAGAAGAAACUCAAAAUGAAGCUAGCAAAACACUGAACCCACAUGACAAAACACAGAACUCGGUUCCUAAUCAGUUUGGUUUGCGUCAAACGAGUCAAGACGAUCCAAACGACAAAAACGAAAAAGGUUGAGACUUUGGGUGACAGAAUCUGAAAUCUACGAUACCCAUUUUCUGAAAUCUAACAAACAGAUCAAAUGGGAAUGUGAAGAAGAAGAAGAACCCUAAGCUUCUGGUACUAACCUGAUGAGAAGGAGAUCAAUAGAUGAAGAAACAGGAUCGGGUUCCGAAUCAGAAACACCUUCUUCGUUAAACAUCUUCCCAUCUUUCUCAAUUGAUCUAAAAGCUCGUAGGAAAUGGUAAAACACGACCGAAGACAAGAGUUACUCGUGACUAAAGUUCAACAAGUGAUGACAAUUACGGGUGGACCCGAAUACCCGAUUGUAAAGACACCGUCUAAUUUGGUUUUAGAAUAAAAGAAUUUUCAACUUUAUUGAUUCAGCCUCUCUGUGACAAUAUAUGUCAAAAUUUUCAGAAAUGAAAUUGAUAUAUAGUCCUAUUAUUUCAAUAGUCAAAGCUUAUAACAUUCAUUCUCUUUAGAACAAGUUUCUUCAUAGCCCUGAAGCUGAAGAACAAACAUGAACAUAAGCACAAAACCACCAAUCUGAUCUCAAUCUGACUGAUAAGCUACAAAAAAAAACAACAAUGUUCGAAACGAAUAACAUGAGAUUGAUUUUGGUUUCAUGGAUUGUUUGUUGAAAUAAUCCUUCAAAGGUGUCUUCUUCUUUUUCGGCUUUCUCCGCCAUGAUGACUCCACCACCGGUUCUAGACUUGCUUUGCUUCCAUAACACGGUUCUUUUCUAGAAUCAUCAUUUGUUUGAACAGAGAAACCAGCAGCUUCGCAGAACGAUGUGCCGUUAG
This 1775-nucleotide long non-coding RNA is filed under the name Brassica napus (rape). Its description in RNAcentral is "long non-coding RNA (BNAP_LNC005412)". Lineage: Eukaryota; Viridiplantae; Streptophyta; Magnoliopsida; Brassicales; Brassicaceae. The record is from RNAcentral.